CGUGUAGGCUGCUCGAUAAGUCGGAUGUGAAAGCCCUGGGCUCAACCUAGGAAGUGCAUUCGAAACUGCCGAGCUGGAGUCCCGGAGAGGAAGGCGGAAUUCUCGGUGUAGAGGUGAAAUUCGUAGAUAUCGAGAGGAACACCGGUGGCGAAGGCGGCCUUCUGGACGGCGACUGACGCUAAGACGCGAAAGCGUGGGGAGCAAACA
Molecule: ribosomal RNA, 207 nt
Filed under: uncultured delta proteobacterium
Lineage: Bacteria; Deltaproteobacteria
Description: partial 16S ribosomal RNA
Rfam family: Bacterial small subunit ribosomal RNA
Source: RNAcentral